AGUCACUAACACAUGCAAGUCGAGCGGUAACACAAGGAGCUUGCUCCUGAGGUGACGAGCGGCGGACGGGUGAGUAAUGCCUAGGUAUCUGCCCAGUCGAGGGGGAUAACAGUUGGAAACGACUGCUAAUACCGCAUACGCCCUACGGGGGAAAGGAGGGGACCUUCGGGCCUUCCGCGAUUGGAUGAACCUAGGUGGGAUUAGCUAGUUGGUGAGGUAAUGGCUCACCAAGGCGACGAUCCCUAGCUGGUCUGAGAGGAUGAUCAGCCACACUGGAACUGAGACACGGUCCAGACUCCUACGGGAGGCAGCAGUGGGGAAUAUUGCACAAUGGGCGAAAGCCUGAUGCAGCCAUGCCGCGUGUGUGAAGAAGGCCUUCGGGUUGUAAAGCACUUUCAGCGAGGAGGAAAGGUUAGUGAUUAAUACUCACUAGCUGUGACGUUACUCGCAUAAGAAGCACCGGCUAACUUCGUGCCAGCAGCCGCGGUAAUACGAGGGGUGCAAGCGUUAAUCGGAAUUACUGGGCGUAAAGCGUACGCAGGCGGUUUGUUAAGCGAGAUGUGAAAGCCCCGGGCUCAACCUGGGAACUGCAUUUCGAACUGGCAAACUAGAGUCUUGUAGAGGGGGGUAGAAUUUCAGGUGUAGCGGUGAAAUGCGUAGAGAUCUGAAGGAAUACCGGUGGCGAAGGCGGCCCCCUGGACAAAGACUGACGCUCAGGU
RNAcentral lists this ribosomal RNA (719 nucleotides) under Shewanella sp. H411. RNAcentral describes it as "bacterial SSU rRNA". It matches the Rfam family "Bacterial small subunit ribosomal RNA", at positions 44 to 752 of the family's 1533-position model. The record is from RNAcentral. Lineage: Bacteria; Pseudomonadati; Pseudomonadota; Gammaproteobacteria; Alteromonadales; Shewanellaceae.